UUAACACAUGCAAGUCGAACGAUGACGACCGAGCUUGCUCGGUCUGAUUAGUGGCGAACGGGUGAGUAACACGUGAGCAACCUGCCCUUCACUCUGGGAUAACCUCGGGAAAUCGGGGCUAAUACCGGAUAUGAGCUCCUGUCGCAUGGCGGGUGUUGGAAAGUUUUUCGGUGAAGGAUGGGCUCGCGGCCUAUCAGUUUGUUGGUGAGGUAGUGGCUCACCAAGGCGAUGACGGGUAGCCGGCCUGAGAGGGCGACCGGCCACACUGGGACUGAGACACGGCCCAGACUCCUACGGGAGGCAGCAGUGGGGAAUAUUGCACAAUGGGCGAAAGCCUGAUGCAGCGACGCCGCGUGAGGGAUGACGGCCUUCGGGUUGUAAACCUCUUUCAGCAGGGAAGAAGCGAAAGUGACGGUACCUGCAGAAGAAGCGCCGGCUAACUACGUGCCAGCAGCCGCGGUAAUACGUAGGGCGCAAGCGUUGUCCGGAAUUAUUGGGCGUAAAGAGCUUGUAGGUGGCUUGUCGCGUCUGCCGUGAAAACCCGAGGCUCAACCUCGGGCGUGCGGUGGGUACGGGCAGGCUAGAGUGUGGUAGGGGAGACUGGAACUCCUGGUGUAGCGGUGAAAUGCGCAGAUAUCAGGAAGAACACCGAUGGCGAAGGCAGGUCUCUGGGCCAUUACUGACACUGAGAAGCGAAAGCAUGGGGAGCGAACAGGAUUAGAUACCCUGGUAGUCCAUGCCGUAAACGUUGGGCACUAGAUG
RNAcentral lists this ribosomal RNA (762 nucleotides) under Dermabacteraceae bacterium. RNAcentral describes it as "bacterial SSU rRNA". It matches the Rfam family "Bacterial small subunit ribosomal RNA", at positions 48 to 822 of the family's 1533-position model. The record is from RNAcentral. Lineage: Bacteria; Bacillati; Actinomycetota; Actinomycetes; Micrococcales; Dermabacteraceae.